GAGUUAUCUGAACCUUCGGGGGACGAUAACGGCGUCGAGCGGCGGACGGGUGAGUAAUGCCUAGGAAAUUGCCCUGAUGUGGGGGAUAACCAUUGGAAACGAUGGCUAAUACCGCAUGAUGCCUACGGGCCAAAGAGGGGGACCUUCGGGCCUCUCGCGUCAGGAUAUGCCUAGGUGGGAUUAGCUAGUUGGUGAGGUAAGGGCUCACCAAGGCGACGAUCCCUAGCUGGUCUGAGAGGAUGAUCAGCCACACUGGAACUGAGACACGGUCCAGACUCCUACGGGAGGCAGCAGUGGGGAAUAUUGCACAAUGGGCGCAAGCCUGAUGCAGCCAUGCCGCGUGUAUGAAGAAGGCCUUCGGGUUGUAAAGUACUUUCAGUCGUGAGGAAGGUAGUGUAGUUAAUAGCUGCAUUAUUUGACGUUAGCGACAGAAGAAGCACCGGCUAACUCCGUGCCAGCAGCCGCGGUAAUACGGAGGGUGCGAGCGUUAAUCGGAAUUACUGGGCGUAAAGCGCAUGCAGGUGGUUUGUUAAGUCAGAUGUGAAAGCCCGGGGCUCAACCUCGGAAUUGCAUUUGAAACUGGCAGACUAGAGUACUGUAGAGGGGGGUAGAAUUUCAGGUGUAGCGGUGAAAUGCGUAGAGAUCUGAAGGAAUACCGGUGGCGAAGGCGGCCCCCUGGACAGAUACUGACACUCAGAUGCGAAAGCGUGGGGAGCAAACAGGAUUAGAUACCCUGGUAGUCCACGCCGUAAACGAUGUCUACUUGGAGGUUGUGGCCUUGAGCCGUGGCUUUCGGAGCUAACGCGUUAAGUAGACCGCCUGGGGAGUACGGUCGCAAGAUUAAAACUCAAAUGAAUUGACGGGGGCCCGCACAAGCGGUGGAGCAUGUGGUUUAAUUCGAUGCAACGCGAAGAACCUUACCUACUCUUGACAUCCAGAGAACUUUCCAGAGAUGGAUUGGUGCCUUCGGGAACUCUGAGACAGGUGCUGCAUGGCUGUCGUCAGCUCGUGUUGUGAAAUGUUGGGUUAAGUCCCGCAACGAGCGCAACCCUUAUCCUUGUUUGCCAGCGAGUAAUGUCGGGAACUCCAGGGAGACUGCCGGUGAUAAACCGGAGGAAGGUGGGGACGACGUCAAGUCAUCAUGGCCCUUACGAGUAGGGCUACACACGUGCUACAAUGGCGCAUACAGAGGGCGGCCAACUUGCGAAAGUGAGCGAAUCCCAAAAAGUGCGUCGUAGUCCGGAUUGGAGUCUGCAACUCGACUCCAUGAAGUCGGAAUCGCUAGUAAUCGUGGAUCAGAAUGCCACGGUGAAUACGUUCCCGGGCCUUGUACACACCGCCCGUCACACCAUGGGAGUGGGCUGCAAAAGAAGUAGGUAGU
Molecule: ribosomal RNA, 1381 nt
Filed under: Vibrio sp. MM12
Lineage: Bacteria; Pseudomonadati; Pseudomonadota; Gammaproteobacteria; Vibrionales; Vibrionaceae
Description: bacterial SSU rRNA
Rfam family: Bacterial small subunit ribosomal RNA
Source: RNAcentral